This is a non-coding RNA of Xylariaceae sp. FL0016, 74 nucleotides long. Lineage: Eukaryota; Fungi; Ascomycota; Sordariomycetes; Xylariales; Xylariaceae. The record is from the annotation of a GenBank genome assembly.
AGUCGCGUGGUGUAGUUGGUUAUCACGUAUGUCUCACACACAUAAGGUCCCGUGUUCGAACCACGGCGCGACUA